UACGCACGCUGGCGGCGUGCCUAAUACAUGCAAGUUGAGCGCUGAAGGUUGGUACUUGUACCGACUGGAUGAGCAGCGAACGGGUGAGUAACGCGUGGGGAAUCUGCCUUUGAGCGGGGGACAACAUUUGGAAACGAAUGCUAAUACCGCAUAAAAACUUUAAACACAAGUUUUAAGUUUGAAAGAUGCAAUUGCAUCACUCAAAGAUGAUCCCGCGUUGUAUUAGCUAGUUGGUGAGGUAAAGGCUCACCAAGGCGAUGAUACAUAGCCGACCUGAGAGGGUGAUCUGCCACAUUGGGACUGAGACACGGCCCAACCUCCUACGGGAGGCAGCAGUAGGGAAUCUUCGGCAAUGGACGAAAGUCUGACCGAGCAACGCCGCGGGAGUGAAGAAGGUUGUCGGAUCGUAAAACUCUGUUGGUAGAGAAGAACGUUGGUGAGAGUGGAAAGCUCAUCAAGUGACGGUAACUACCCAGAAAGGGACGGCUAACUACGUG
RNAcentral lists this ribosomal RNA (497 nucleotides) under uncultured bacterium. RNAcentral describes it as "partial 16S ribosomal RNA". It matches the Rfam family "Bacterial small subunit ribosomal RNA", at positions 29 to 507 of the family's 1533-position model. The record is from RNAcentral.